AGAGUUUGAUCAUGGCUCAGAACGUACGCUGGCGGCACGCCUAACACAUGCAAGUCGAACGAAGUAGCAAUACUUAGUGGCAGACGGGUGAGUAACAUGUAGGUAUCUGCCCUUUGGCCUGGAAUAACACGAGGAAACUUGUGCUAAUACCGGAUAAGUCUUUACGGAGAAAGCUUUAUGCACCAUUGGAUGAGCCUGCACUUGAUUAGUUUGUUGGUGGGGUAAUGGCCUACCAAGACUGUGAUCAAUAGCUGAUUUGAGAGGAUGAUCAGCCACAUUGGGACUGAGACACGGCCCAAACUCCUACGGGAGGCAGCAGUGGGGAAUCUUGCACAAUGGAGGAAACUCUGAUGCAGCGAUGCCGCGUGAGUGAAGAAGGCCCUUGGGUUGUAAAGCUCUUUCGUCGGGGAAGAAAAUGACUGUACCCGAAUAAGAAGGUCCGGCUAACUUCGUGCCAGCAGCCGCGGUAAUACGAAGGGACCUAGCGUAGUUCGGAAUUACUGGGCUUAAAGAGUUCGUAGGUGGUUGAAAAAGUUAGUGGUGAAAUCCCAGAGCUUAACUCUGGAACUGCCAUUAAAACUUUUCAGCUAGAGUAUGAUAGAGGAAAGCAGAAUUUCUAGUGUAGAGGUGAAAUUCGUAGAUAUUAGAAAGAAUACCAAUUGCGAAGGCAGCUUUCUGGAUCAUUACUGACACUGAGGAACGAAAGCAUGGGUAGCGAAGAGGAUUAGAUACCCUCGUAGUCCAUGCCGUAAACGAUGUGUGUUAGACGUUGGAAAUUUAUUUUCAGUGUCGCAGGGAAACCGAUAAACACACCGCCUGGGGAGUACGACCGCAAGGUUAAAACUCAAAUGAAUUGACGGGGACCCGCA
Molecule: ribosomal RNA, 869 nt
Filed under: marine metagenome
Description: bacterial SSU rRNA
Rfam family: Bacterial small subunit ribosomal RNA
Source: RNAcentral